GGGAAUCUACCUUUUGCUACGGAAUAACUCAGGGAAACUUGUGCUAAUACCGUAUGUGCCCUUCGGGGGAAAGAUUUAUCGGCAAAGGAUGAGCCCGCGUUGGAUUAGGUAGUUGGUGGGGUAAUGGCCUACCAAGCCGACGAUCCAUAGCUGGUCUGAGAGGAUGAUCAGCCACAUUGGGACUGAGACACGGCCCAAACUCCUACGGGAGGCAGCAGUGGGGAAUAUUGGACAAUGGGCGCAAGCCUGAUCCAGCCAUGCCGCGUGAGUGAUGAAGGCCCUAGGGUUGUAAAGCUCUUUCACCGGUGAAGAUAAUGACGGUAACCGGAGAAGAAGCCCCGGCUAACUUCGUGCCAGCAGCCGCGGUAAUACGAAGGGGGCUAGCGUUGUUCGGAAUUACUGGGCGUAAAGCGCACGUAGGCGGAUACUUAAGUUAGGGGUGAAAUCCCAGGGCUCAACCCUGGAACUGCCUUUAAUACUGGGUAUCUUGAGUUCGAGAGAGGUGAGUGGAAUUCCGAGU
RNAcentral lists this ribosomal RNA (520 nucleotides) under uncultured bacterium. RNAcentral's name for it is "bacterial SSU rRNA". It matches the Rfam family "Bacterial small subunit ribosomal RNA", at positions 120 to 674 of the family's 1533-position model. The record is from RNAcentral.